Molecule: ribosomal RNA, 694 nt
Filed under: uncultured bacterium
Lineage: Bacteria
Description: bacterial SSU rRNA
Rfam family: Bacterial small subunit ribosomal RNA
Source: RNAcentral
UAACGCGUGGGCAACCUGCCUUACACAGGGGGAUAACAGUUAGAAAUGACUGCUAAUACCGCAUAAGACCACAUUGCCGCAUGGCAGGGUGGUAAAAACUCCGGUGGUGUAAGAUGGGCCCGCGUCUGAUUAGGUAGUUGGCAGGGUAGAGGCCUACCAAGCCUACGAUCAGUAGCCGGCCUGAGAGGGUGGGCGGCCACAUUGGGACUGAGACACGGCCCAAACUCCUACGGGAGGCAGUAGUGGGGAAUAUUGCACAAUGGGGGAAACCCUGAUGCAGCGACGCCGCGUGAGUGAGGAAGUAUUUCGGUAUGUAAAGCUCUAUCAGCAGGGAAGAAAAUGACGGUACCUGACUAAGAAGCCCCGGCUAACUACGUGCCAGCAGCCGCGGUAAUACGUAGGGGGCAAGCGUUAUCCGGAUUUACUGGGUGUAAAGGGAGCGUAGACGGAGGAGCAAGUCUGAUGUGAAAAUCCGGGGCCCAACCCCGGAACUGCAUUGGAAGCUGUUUAUCUAGAGUGUCGGAGAGGCAAGUGGAACUCCUAGUGUAGCGGUGAAAUGCGUAGAUAUUAGGAGGAACACCAGUGGCGAAGGCGGCUUGCUGGACGAUGACUGACGUUGAGGCUCGAAAGCGUGGGGAGCAAACAGGAUUAGAUACCCUGGUAGUCCACGCCGUAAACGAUGACUACUAGGUGU